UCCAGAGAACUUAGCAGAGAUGCUUUGGUGCCUUCGGGAACUCUGAGACAGGUGCUGCAUGGCUGUCGUCAGCUCGUGUUGUGAAAUGUUGGGUUAAGUCCCGNAACGAGCGCAACCCUUAUCCUUUGUUGCCAGCGGUUCGGCCGGGAACUCAAAGGAGACUGCCGGUGAUAAACCGGAGGAAGGUGGGGAUGACGUCAAGUCAUCAUGGCCCUUACGGCCAGGGCUACACACGUGCUACAAUGGCGCAUACAAAGAGAAGCGACCUCGCGAGAGCAAGCGGACCUCAUAAAGUGCGUCGUAGUCCGGAUUGGAGUCUGCAACUCGACUCCAUGAAGUCGGAAUCGCUAGUAAUCGUAGAUCAGAAUGCUACGGUGAAUACGUUCCCGGGCCUUGUACACACCGCCCGUCACACCAUGGGAGUGGGUUGCAAAAGAAGUAGGUAGCUUAACCUUCGGGAGGGCGCUUACCACUUUGUGAUUCAUGACUGGGGUGAAGUCGUAACAAGGUAAGCGUAGUGCU
This 522-nucleotide ribosomal RNA is filed under the name uncultured bacterium. RNAcentral describes it as "bacterial SSU rRNA". It matches the Rfam family "Bacterial small subunit ribosomal RNA", at positions 987 to 1509 of the family's 1533-position model. The record is from RNAcentral.